GUGCCAGCCGCCGCGGUAAUACGGGGGGGGCAAGCGUUGUUCGGAAUUACUGGGCGUAAAGGGUCGGUAGGUGGCCAACUAAGUCAGACGUGAAAUCCCUCAGCUUAACUGGGGAACUGCGUCUGAGACUGGAUGGCUCGAGUGCAGGAGAGGAACGCGGAAUUCCAGGUGUAGCGGUGAAAUGCGUAGAUAUCUGGAGGAACACCGGUGGCGAAGGCGGCGUUCUGGACUGCAACUGACACUGAACGACGAAAGCCAGGGGAGCAAACGGGAUUAGAAACCCUGGUAGUCC
RNAcentral lists this ribosomal RNA (292 nucleotides) under uncultured bacterium. RNAcentral describes it as "partial 16S ribosomal RNA". It matches the Rfam family "Bacterial small subunit ribosomal RNA", at positions 505 to 796 of the family's 1533-position model. The record is from RNAcentral.